Molecule: ribosomal RNA, 253 nt
Filed under: uncultured bacterium
Lineage: Bacteria
Description: partial 16S ribosomal RNA
Rfam family: Bacterial small subunit ribosomal RNA
Source: RNAcentral
UACGUAGGCGGCAAGCGUUAUCCGGAUUUAUUGGGCGUAAAGGGAACGCAGGCGGUCUUUUAAGUCUGAUGUGAAAGCCUUCGGCUUAACCGGAGUAGCGCAUUGGAAACUGGGAGACUUGAGUGCAGAAGAGGAGAGUGGAACUCCAUGUGUAGCGGUGAAAUGCGUAGAUAUAUGGAAGAACACCAGUGGCGAAAGCGGCUCUCUGGUCUGUAACUGACGCUGAGGUUCGAAAGCGUGGGUAGCAAACAGG